AUUAACUUCUCUCUCCCUUAUUUCCUCACGCAUACAUACAUAUACAUUCUCUCUCUCUGCGUGACUUCUCCCUCUCUCUCAGCUCUGUCGUCUCUCUUUCUCUCUCCCUGUCUCCAGCGGCCAUCGCCGGCCUUCGUCGCCUCCGGCGCGGCGAGGUCGGCCUCUCCUCUCCCCCUUUCCUUUCUUUCCAUUUCUCUUUUCCCUAUGUCUCAAUCCCCAAAUUAUAAAAUCAAAAUCCUAAGGUUUCUACCUCUCUUCAUCCCCUCUGGAAUUCGUCUCUCCGGCGAAGCCUGUCGCCCCGUCGUCGUCUUUGUCACGCCGCCGCCUCUUCUGAUUCAGGUAAGUCCUUGUCUCUCUCUCUCUACUUCUGUCUCUGCUCUCUCCCUCGAACUCCCUCUCUCUCUGCCCUCUCUCGAUCUCUCGCUCUCUCCCUCUAGCUCGUUCUGCCUUUCUCCCUUCUUCCUGCUGUCUGUCUCUAUCUCACACUCUAUCUCACUAUCUCUCACUCAAUCUCCAUCCCUACCUCUCGCUCAACCUCCCUCUUCCUCUACUGUCAGUAGCCACCGCGGCCGCCGUGGCGUGAGCAGCGCCGGCGGCCACCACCGUCAGCCAUGCCUCCGCCGUUAUGGUUUGCGGCUGUUGCUGCUGCUACUGCUAAUAAUCCCCCUCUUCUCUAUUUCCAGUUCAAAAUCCUAUCCUAGCAAACUUCCUAUCUAUUUUCUAUUUCAAAUCUAAUAUCUCAAUUAAUAAAUCUCUAAUUUUUUUUCCUUUUCAGGAAUCGACCGGCGUCGUCGUUGCUUGAGAUGUCUCCGGCGCAACAGUCCUUUAUCAGCUCAAAAUCCUAUUUUUAUGAUUGUUUUCCUUAUUGCUUACUGGAAAGCUAAAGUUUUGAUAGAAGAAAGUAUACUGUUGUUAGUUAUGCUAUACUUAACUUGUUUGUUGUAGUUAGGUCCAUCUUCCCUAUUGCUAAUAGCAUUCUGUACAUGUAUUGAACAAAAGAAAGACUACCUUCUUUGCUGUGAACUGCUGCGGGGAUGUUUGUAUUCUGAUGAAUAUUUGUUUUGCUGUUGGGAAUUUGCAGAAUGGGGGAAAAAUUGUUUCACGCUCAACUCCUCUUUUCUUAUACUGUUUUAAGUCGGUUGAGGGAGUGGCUGAGUCACGUAUGCUACGUGUUCUUUCAAGGAUCAGAUAUGCUCUAAUGAUUUUUAUAUAAUCAGUAAAGCUUAUAGAAAUUAACUGGUUUGGGAUUCCUACUAUUAUUGUCACCUAUUGACCCAAAUAACAGCUAUUGGGCUCAGUUAAAAACUGAAUUCAUAUAUACAGAUACUGGGCUUUGGUUCCAAAUAAG
This 1348-nucleotide long non-coding RNA is filed under the name Salvia miltiorrhiza (redroot sage). RNAcentral's name for it is "long non-coding RNA (SMIL_LNC006300)". The record is from RNAcentral. Lineage: Eukaryota; Viridiplantae; Streptophyta; Magnoliopsida; Lamiales; Lamiaceae.